RNAcentral lists this ribosomal RNA (944 nucleotides) under uncultured bacterium. Its description in RNAcentral is "bacterial SSU rRNA". It matches the Rfam family "Bacterial small subunit ribosomal RNA", at positions 8 to 986 of the family's 1533-position model. The record is from RNAcentral.
AGAGUUUGAUCAUGGCUCAGAAUCAACGCUGGCGGCGCGCCUAACACAUGCAAGUCGAACGAGAAAGGGGAGCAAUCCCUGAGUAAAGUGGCGUACGGGUGAGUAACACGUGGGUAAUCUGCCCUUUGGUGGGGAAUAACCCUGGGAAACCGGGGCUAAUACCGCAUAAGUCCGAGAGGAGAAAGCAGCAAUGCGCCGAAGGAGGAGCCCGCGGCCGAUUAGCUAGUUGGUAGGGUAAGAGCCUACCAAGGCAAAGAUCGGUAGCCGGCCUGAGAGGGCACACGGCCACACUGGCACUGAAACACGGGCCAGACUCCUACGGGAGGCAGCAGUGGGGAAUCUUGCACAAUGGGGGAAACCCUGAUGGAGCGACGCCGCGUGAGCGAUGAAGCCCUUCGGGGUGUAAAGCUCUUUCGGCAGGGAAGAUGAUGACGGUACCUGCAGAAGCAGCUGCGGCUAACUACGUGCCAGCAGCCGCGGUAAUACGUAGGCAGCAAGCGUUGUUCGGAGUUACUGGGCGUAAAGGGUGUGUAGGCGGUCUGGUAAGUCUGGUGUGAAAUCUCCCGGCUCAACUGGGAGGGUGCGCCGGAAACUGCCGGACUCGAGUGCGGGAGAGGAGAGUGGAAUUCCUGGUGUAGCGGUGAAAUGCGUAGAUAUCAGGAGGAACACCGGCGGUGUAGACGGCUCUCUGGACCGUAACUGACGCUGAAACACGAAAGCGUGGGUAGCAAACAGGAUUAGAUACCCUGGUAGUCCACGCCCUAAACGAUGCAUAUUUGGUGUGGGUCAUUCAGUUGAUCCGUGCCGGAGCUAACGCGUUAAAUAUGCCGCCUGGGGAGUACAGUCGCAAGGCUGAACUCAAGGAAUUGGCGGGGGCCCGCACAAGCGGUGGAGCAUGUGGGUUCAAUUCGACGCAACGCGAAGAACCUUACCUGGGCUCGAAC